RNAcentral lists this ribosomal RNA (440 nucleotides) under uncultured bacterium. Its description in RNAcentral is "partial 16S ribosomal RNA". It matches the Rfam family "Bacterial small subunit ribosomal RNA", at positions 338 to 795 of the family's 1533-position model. The record is from RNAcentral.
CCUACGGGUGGCUGCAGUGGGGGAUAUUGCACAAUGGGGGGAACCCUAAUGCAGCGACGCCGCGUGGGUGAAGAAGCGCCUCGGCGCGUAAAGCCCUGUCAGCAGGGAAGAAAAUGACGGUACCUGAAGAAGAAGCCCCGGCUAACUACGUGCCAGCAACCGCGGUAAUACGUAGGGGGCAAGCGUUAUCCGGAUUUACUGGGUGUAAAGGGGGCGCAGGCGGCGAUGCAAGCCAGGAGUGAAAGCCCGGGGCCCAACCCCGGGACGGCUCUUGGAACUGCGUGGCUGGAGUGCACGAGGGGCAGGCGGAAUUGCUGGUGUAGCGGUGAAAUGCGUAGAUAUCAGGAGGAACACCGGUGGCGAAGGCGGCCCCCUGGACGAAGACUGACGCUCAGGUGCGAAAGCGUGGGGAGCAAACAGGAUUAGAUACCCCAGUAGUC